RNAcentral lists this ribosomal RNA (274 nucleotides) under uncultured bacterium. RNAcentral describes it as "partial 16S ribosomal RNA". It matches the Rfam family "Bacterial small subunit ribosomal RNA", at positions 523 to 796 of the family's 1533-position model. The record is from RNAcentral.
AUACGUAGGUGGCAAGCGUUGUCCGGAUUUACUGGGCGUAAAGGGCGCGCAGGCGGCCCAUCAAGUCCGGGGUGAAAGCUCCCGGCUCAACCGGGAGAGGUCUCCGGAAACUGAUGGGCUUGAGGGGAGCAGAGGAGAGCGGAAUUCCUGGUGUAGCGGUGAUAUGCGUAGAUAUCGGGAGGAACACCAGUGGCGAAGGCGGCUCUCUGGGCUCUCCCUGACGCUGAGGCGCGAAAGCGUGGGGAGCAAACCGGAUUAGAAACCCCAGUAGUCC